AGCUGCAGCCACACCGAAGGCAACACAUUCAAUCUUGCCAGCUAAGCUGCCCCAGACCCAAUUACUAUUUGCAUGGAAACCACCUGGAAACGUGAGGUGCUGCAGAUU
RNAcentral lists this ribosomal RNA (108 nucleotides) under Nothoprocta perdicaria. The record is from RNAcentral. Lineage: Eukaryota; Metazoa; Chordata; Aves; Tinamiformes; Tinamidae.